Molecule: long non-coding RNA, 665 nt
Filed under: Ananas comosus (pineapple)
Lineage: Eukaryota; Viridiplantae; Streptophyta; Magnoliopsida; Poales; Bromeliaceae
Description: long non-coding RNA (ACOM_LNC036795)
Source: RNAcentral
UUCUAAAAACUUAUUCCAAAAACUUUUGGUCAUAUAUAUAUAUAUAUAUAUAUAUAUAUAUGGAGUUGAGCUAGAAUGCUAUCGGUAGAAAACGGGCUCCGUUGCCACCCAUUUGUUUUCGAUGAUGGAGUCUUCAAAUCGACAAUCGGCAUCGUUGAACAUGAUCUAUAUCAUUUGAAAUAUCUAGAAAUCAAAUUUCAAAUCUUUUCAACAUCAUUGACCUAAUGAUCAAAGGGUUUUAAAAUUUGUAAUUUUAAUGGUCGACAUGAGGUGUUUUCUCGUUUAACGGUGUAAAACUAUCCAAAUCAAUUGAAUUUUUGUUAGAAAAUUCUUUAAACUAUUUAGAACAAGAUCUAUACUCUCGAUCUUGAUUACAAAAUUUUUAUCAUCACUUUUUAGAGAAUAUUUAUUUUGAGCCGUUCAUUUUUACGCUCACUUGAUUAACAAGAGAACAAUAUCGGAAAAGUAUGAAAUUUAAUUUCUAGAUAUUUCAAGUGGUAUAGAUCAUUUUCAACGGUGCCGAUCGUCGAUUUGGAGGCCCCAUCAUCGAAAAUAAAUGGAUGGCAACGGAGCCAAUUUGCGACCGACAGUAUUCCAGCUCAACUCUAUAUAUAUAUUAUAAUGUGGGUAAGACAUUUUAUUGGUGAGAUGUACUAUUAUUAAUG